Molecule: RNA transcript, 3203 nt
Organism: Glossina fuscipes
Lineage: Eukaryota; Metazoa; Arthropoda; Insecta; Diptera; Glossinidae
Exons: 6
Source: RefSeq, a predicted model, not a curated record
CGUAGUCUUUUUGUUUUUUACAAAUACUUCUUGCAAAUAAUUAUUACUGUUUCUUAUACGGAUAUAUAAGCCACAAGUUUUAUUGAUUUAGUCCAUCUUAACUCAACAUCAACAAAAAAAAAGAAAAAGAAUACACGCUCUAUCAAAAAAUGAACAAUAAUGCAAAACUGUGGAAAGAAAGCAUUUUACGGAGGCCAUCUUUGAGAGGUCUAAAGAAGUGUCCUUGCGGUUUUUUAAAUGGUCAGCGCUCUUUAAUUUGUCGCAAUGUUGGUUGUGAAUUGCGUCAAUUAGCCUUAGAGUCUAUUAAACCAUUUGAUCCGAUUCAAUUGAUAACUUACAAUAAGACCCAGAUGUAUUCGAUGCGAUGCAAAGAAAAAUUAAUUAGUUUACGCAAUUUUGUUAUCAUUGCCGAACAAUCCCUGGAUUUGAAGUUACCAUGUAGCGCAGUUGUGCCUUAUGCAGUUUGCUACAUAGACAAAUGUAAAUAUGGUGGUAAUGAUUCCUCCCAACCUAUUUGUAAGCAUAUUAACGCCUGUUCAUCUCUAAACGGAAAAUCGAACAAAGCUGAGGUAUAUCGUGUUGAUAAGAGUAUCUUGUGGAAUUUGAAUAUUAAUGAAGAUAAGAAGAACUUAUUAUGGCAGCUAUACGAAAGCGACGAAAAAUCCAUUCCGGCAGUUCAACGUGUUAAUUCAAAUAUAUUUGCUGUAAAAUGUACACAAUCUGAUGUCUUUCCAGCAGGACGUUUGCACACAACUGUGUUCACUAAUAAUGUAGUCAAUAAAAAGGGAACAUUCCUUUGUGCUUGUAGGAAACUAAAAAUCAUAGUGGAAUCAGACAAUACUAUUACUAUGAAAAAUGAAAUUUGCGAUCAUCUAUUGCUGCUAUUGGCAGCCAUACUAAGCCAUUCAAGCCACAAAACAUUGUUUACGGCUUUUUUGGAUACACUGGAAACCUUGUGGAUGCCCGUAGUUGCCAAUGUCCCUUCUAGUAAUAUAGUAAAUGGAGAUUUCGGUUCAACCGACAUAUUGCAUCAAGCUCCUAUUGGCAGUGGUAAAAAUCUUAUUUCGGACUCUCACGAAGAUGCUGACAUUUUUAAUUAUACUGAAGACAUGUUUACGGAAAGUGUGAUACCAGAUUUUGUAGAUAUUGCAUGGGAUGUGGAAAAUGCUAAACAAAUUCCUUUGGAAUCUAAUGAAUUUUUAGUAGAAUUUAAACCUAGCAAUUUUUACAUGAAGGACCCGAAAUUGAUAUCAACCUCGGCAACUGCCAGCGAUGAAGAUAUGGAUCUCCUUCCCACUAAUUCAUAUGUCAAGUCGCCUGUGCGACUGACACCCACCACAAACAUAACUAAUAAUUUACGAAGCCCCGUCCAAAUGCUACAAUUUAAUGAACCCUUAACCGACAAAAUAUGUUUAUUAAAGGAAAGCAAUUUAAGACCAGCAAUCGUAGAUAAAAAGCAGAUUCCGCAGUUAUUAAAGCCAUUCGAUUCAGCACCAAUUUCGAAAGCAUUUGUUAAGCAAAUAAGUAUUCCGAUGAAAAAAUCCACCGACAGAACAUGUAAUGAGACCGCGGCAAAUCAGCAAACAGCAGAAAUGCUUUCAAUUGAUCAUUUAAAACAGUUUUUGUUGCAUUCGAGGCCGUGUGUCAAAGAGAGUGCAGAGAAGGUGGAAAUAAUGGAUACUACAACGAAUGCUGCGCCUUCACUUUCAUAUACAGGAUGGUUGGAACAUGUUAUUGAAAUGUUAAACGACUCUAUUGUUGUAAAAGAAUCGAAUAAUGUUAGACAUAGUUUUCAUGUUCAUGAGGAAAUGUUUGCAUAUUUUAGCAAAAACUUUAGUUUAAAUAUUAAAAAACGACGGCUACCAAACUCUACGUCCGUUAUAAAGAAUGGGAAAUAUAAAGGUUUAAUUAAAUACACUUGGUAUUUUAUGCAAAGUCCUACAGUACAAAGAAUAUUUUCAACAAAAAAUUUGAAAUUACAAACAGAGCGCACUUAUGAAUUGUUAGACGAUGGUAGCUUAGCGCCUUUUAAGCUGAACACCUUAGGUCUGCCAAUCACAAAAGGUCGUCUCAUAUGUCCGAAAGUGAAAUUAUACAAAGCUUUCAUAAAUUUUAGUACAACUACCAACAAGCACUUCUCAGCAAACAAUCAAACGUCUCAAACGUCUGGUGUCAAAAUAGAGUGGUUACCCAUAUAUCCAAAAAGUCAUUUUGGUCUUAUGGCUGUUGAAUUUUGUGUGUGCGUACAGGAAAGUCAAUAGAUGAGCGGCCUAUUGCAUGUAAACCCGUAUUUUAAUCUUACACAACUAAAUAACGAGGCAACCAAUUUUAUUCAACAAUACGAAAGCAAGAAUAUGCUAAAAUUACGUUACGUAUAUAUAGAUAAUCUCUGCAAAACUCGCUAACGGCUAUUUGUCAUCGAUCUGCACCAAUGCAGACGCAGAACCCACUAAACAGGUUGGAUCGUAUUUUAAAUGGGUCACUCAACUUCUAACUUUCAUGCGUAGUCAGUCAGACGAAUUGUCGAUAUGAGCGUCGACGCUUUCGACAAGCUCUUAAGAGAGGAUUAAUUGAAAUGAUGGACAUAAUUACAUCCUUUGUUCAGUAUAAAAACCAACUAUGCACGGUUACGGGUACAUUUUACAUAUUACAUUUUGCGUGAACAUCAUCAAUUUGCCGAGACUUCCCGAGAUAACCGUGAUGCCCGAAAUUUAAUAUGUACAAAUCAUGGAUUGGCGAAAAAAUUCCAUUGGAUAUCGGAUGCACCUGCUUCGUGUUAAGGUCGAAUUGUCACCUCAUCUCGAAUUGUUAGCGUAAGACAUAGACUUAGCUACAUAUUUCUACUUUCGAGCGUUUCACUACGACAGCAAAGGUACAAUGAACGAGUGAGAACUCAUAGAGAUCUGGCAUAAGCGAUUCAGUUCGACGCUAGCUACGAGGAACAGCCAUGCCUCGAUUCGUGCCCGAGAAAGAUUGGAUUUCAUAUAAUAAUCGUACAAAAAAUGUUAUCGGUAUAACUAAAAUAUUUUUAUUCGUAGAUAAGUAGGUACAAAAGCGUAAAAGUUUAGAUAACGUUGCCCACAACAAACACACGAAUAUUAAUUUCAUUAAAUAAUGAUGGCAAUAAAUGUAAUAAAUGUGACACAACCGUUCGACAUCGUUUUGCGAUUGUAGCAAAAGUUUAUAUGUGUACAAAUAUCGUU